This 253-nucleotide ribosomal RNA is filed under the name uncultured bacterium. RNAcentral's name for it is "partial 16S ribosomal RNA". It matches the Rfam family "Bacterial small subunit ribosomal RNA", at positions 524 to 776 of the family's 1533-position model. The record is from RNAcentral.
UACGUAGGUGGCAAGCGUUGUCCGGAUUUACUGGGCGUAAAGAGCGCGCAGGCGGUCGUUCAAGUCGCGUGUGAAAGCCCCCGGCUCAACUGGGGAGGGUCACGCGAUACUGAUCGACUCGAAGGCAGGAGAGGGUAGUGGAAUUCCCGGUGUAGUGGUGAAAUGCGUAGAUAUCGGGAGGAACACCAGUGGCGAAAGCAGCUUUCUGGGACGGUACUGACGCUGAGACGCGAAAGCGUGGGGAGCGAACAGG